Long non-coding RNA from Bombus huntii, 562 nucleotides. RefSeq lists it as uncharacterized. The transcript has 3 exons. Lineage: Eukaryota; Metazoa; Arthropoda; Insecta; Hymenoptera; Apidae. The record is from RefSeq and is a predicted model, not a curated record.
UCAUGCUAGCGCAUCAUCAUAGAGUUCAGUACUGUUUAAUCUGUUGAGAUAAAUGUCAUGUUGGUAUGAUCACUAGUUCCUACAUGCGAAGUUGGUACGACUUCUAACGACGCCCUUUUGUUUUGGCUUCUGCCACGUGUUAAUUAUCUGAGAGUAUCCGGUGUGUUCAUAUGGCUGUACAUGGUAGUGAAAUACAGAAUAUAAAAACUGAAUCUGUGUGAAUCAAUUAAAUAUCGAACUCCAAAACCUAUUUAAUAACAGGGGUAGUGCAGUAACCGAAAUGGAAAUUAUUCUACAUGCAAAAGAAAUUUGAAGAGUUCUCGUUGCCAGAAAUUUAAGGUGAAUGGAUUUUGUGAUAUUCAGGCAAACUGACUCCCGAGUAAGAUAAAACUUCAUAAAUUCUUUCCUAUGGUGCUUUGAUGAACUUUGUGUAAAGUGACUUGGAAUCCAGCUUUAACUGGUUUAAAACAUGCAUGGAUUAUACUCUUCGCUAUUCCUAGGACAUUUACAAAUUAUUGUGUUUGUCCUUCUCAAGUUAGAAAUUCCACUUUUUGUGAAAACG